ACACCGGCAGCUCUAGUGGAUGCUGUUUUUAUUGGGCCUAAAGCGUUUGUAGCCGGUUUGGUAAGUCGCUGGUGAAAUCCUGUAGCUUAACUGUGGGCAUUGCUGGUGAUACUGUUGAACUUGAGGUCGGGAGAGGUUAGCGGUACUCCCAGGGUAGAGGUGAAAUUCUGUAAUCCUGAGAGGACCACCUGAGGCGAAGGCGGCAAACUUGAGGGAACCUGGCGGGUGGGGGCGCGUACUGUGGGCGCGAACCGGAUGAGAUUCCAGAGGAGGCUUAACCGGAGAGUGUGCGGAGUUCGUGUCAGGAUGGCGUUGAGCGUCUUCGGUGCGGAAAGGAUGGUGUUAACUCAGGCGGCUGGGAAGUUCGGUCGCAAUACGGAGACUUAAAAGCAUUGAUGGGU
This 401-nucleotide ribosomal RNA is filed under the name uncultured bacterium. Its description in RNAcentral is "partial 16S ribosomal RNA". It matches the Rfam family "Archaeal small subunit ribosomal RNA", at positions 473 to 873 of the family's 1478-position model. The record is from RNAcentral.